UACAGAGGUCCCAAGCGUUGUUCGGAUUCACUGGGCGUAAAGGGUGCGUAGGCGGUUAGGUAAGUCCGAUGUGAAAUCUCAGAGCUUAACUCUGAAACUGCAUUGGAUACUAUUUAGCUAGAGGAUUGGAGGGGGGACUGGAAUUCUCGGUGUAGCAGUGAAAUGCGUAGAGAUCGAGAGGAACACCGGUGGCGAAAGCGAGUCCCUGGACAAUUCCUGACGCUGAGGCACGAAAGCUAGGGGAGCAAACAGG
This 253-nucleotide ribosomal RNA is filed under the name uncultured bacterium. Its description in RNAcentral is "partial 16S ribosomal RNA". It matches the Rfam family "Bacterial small subunit ribosomal RNA", at positions 524 to 776 of the family's 1533-position model. The record is from RNAcentral.